UACGAGAGGCCCAAACGUUAUUCGGAAUUACUGGGCUUACAGAGUUCGUAGGCGGCUCAGAAAGUUGGGUGUGAAAUCCCUCGGCCCAACCGAGGAAUUGCGCUCAAAACUACUGAGCUUGAGGGGUAUAGAGGUAAGCGGAACUGAUGGUGGAGCGGUGAAAUGCGUUGAUAUCAUCAGGAACACCGGUGGCGAAGGCGGCUUACUGGGUACCUCCUGACGCUGAGGAACGAAAGCUAGGGGAGCGAACGGG
This 253-nucleotide ribosomal RNA is filed under the name uncultured bacterium. Its description in RNAcentral is "partial 16S ribosomal RNA". It matches the Rfam family "Bacterial small subunit ribosomal RNA", at positions 524 to 776 of the family's 1533-position model. RNAcentral also lists the same sequence under 1 other name. The record is from RNAcentral.